UACAGAGGUCUCAAGCGUUGUUCGGAUUCAUUGGGCGUAAAGAGCUCGUAGGCGGUUCGGCAAGUCGGAUGUGAAAUCUCCACGCUUAACGUGGAGGGGCCAUUCGAAACUGCCGUGACUCGAGUCCGGUAGGGGAGUGCGGAAUUCCCGGUGUAGCGGUGAAAUGCGCAGAUAUCGGGAGGAACACCAGUGGCGAAGGCGGCACUCUGGGCCGGAACUGACGCUGAGGAGCGAAAGCGUGGGGAGCGAACAGG
This 254-nucleotide ribosomal RNA is filed under the name uncultured bacterium. Its description in RNAcentral is "partial 16S ribosomal RNA". It matches the Rfam family "Bacterial small subunit ribosomal RNA", at positions 524 to 776 of the family's 1533-position model. The record is from RNAcentral.